This 209-nucleotide ribosomal RNA is filed under the name uncultured bacterium. RNAcentral describes it as "partial 16S ribosomal RNA". It matches the Rfam family "Bacterial small subunit ribosomal RNA", at positions 1292 to 1500 of the family's 1533-position model. The record is from RNAcentral.
UUCAGAUUGCAGGCUGCAACUCGCCUGCAUGAAGUCGGACUUGCUAGUAAUCGCGGAUCAGCAUGCCGCGGUGAAUACGUUCCCGGGCCUUGUACACACCGCCCGUCACACCAUGAGAGUUGGGGGAUACCCGAAGCCUGUGAGCUAACUUUUAGAGGCAGCAGUCGAAGGUAGAAUCAAUGAUUGGGGUGAAGUCGUAACAAGGUACC